GCAGAUGUGAAGCUGGGACUUUCAGCCCUGAUGUGCAGGCUUUAUCUCCAAAAACACAACAGAGCUGGGCCUGUCUCCAGCAAUCACUGUGUGGGAGGCGGGAAACACCCUGGACAGGUGACAAGUUCAUCACAGGGACACAUAGAGACAAACAACCAUUCACACUCUUGCCCACACCUUGGGACACAUUUAGAGUUGCCAAUUAACCCAGCAUGUCUGUUUUGGGUCUGUGGGAGGGACCAGGAGUACGAGGAGAAAAGCCUCCAAAGCUUGCAGUGGGAGAAAGGUCCACAAUAAAAAAACACUAGCUUGGAGGUAAUCUUCUUACUGAGAGGCUACAUGCAGCAGAUARACCAUCAUAUAAAAUAUAUCUUGUCUUAUUUAAUAGUAUUGCUGAUUAGUAUACCUUGGGGUGGUGCAGUGGUUAGUAAUGCUGCCUCUCAGUGAGAAGACCUUUCUCUCUAUCACAUCCUAUUGUAAUGUAAUGUUUCCUAUUAUAAUUCAAUUGUCCUUAUGUUGCCCUGUUUCUCAUCAGAUUGUUUGGUGUCUUGUCAUAACAUGUAGUGAUGUAGCCUUUUGAAUUGUAAUAUAUUUUAGCACAUUGUAUUAGUAGGGCAUCAUUUCAUUGUAUUUAAAUAUACUGUAUCUUAUAGGAACACACACAAAACAAUAUUCAGUUAUACUGUUGAGCCACAAGAUACAUUUGAAAUGGCCCUCUACACAUUUUAACCAGUGUUCAAACUGCAUAACAUCACAGUUAAUGCCUUUUCAUGUAGUUAUUAUUUAAAAAAAAGAUGUGCCAUGGAGUGUAAUGAUGACCUACCGUUGUGGAAUCAGACCGUGACGAGCUUGAGUUGUUUUUUUUCCCCCUGAUGUUAUCAAAUUUUGUUAAGCCUUUCAGUUAAAAAAAAACUAAUUUGAAGUAAAAACCAUGCACACCCUCACCCCACUCUCUCACACAAGCAACAAACAAUGAGUCUGAACUGCAGCAGUGCCAAUAAAAUUAUGAAACAAUUUACUUUUUGUCUGUUUGUGCUUUAUUAUACAAGUGAAUAUUCUCAAUCUCUAACAGUUUACGUUGAGCUACCCUGUCAGUGGUAAACAAAUAAAUCACACACACACACGCACAAAGAGUUAAUACACGGGUGGAUUCCCAGUCGAGGUCCCCUUCUCACACUUCUCCAGAAAUUAGCAUUUUAAUGGCCCAAGCUGCUCCAUGUCCCCCACAUCAGAGUGAAAGCUCAGCUGAAAUCAUGGGUGAGUGCUUUCGAGCGAUCCACUGAGAUAAACCAGCUCCCACAUAAACACAGGCCCAAAACCAAAAAAAA
This is a long non-coding RNA of Austrofundulus limnaeus, 1328 nucleotides long. RefSeq lists it as uncharacterized. The record is from RefSeq and is a predicted model, not a curated record. The transcript is spliced from 2 exons. Lineage: Eukaryota; Metazoa; Chordata; Actinopteri; Cyprinodontiformes; Rivulidae.